CGCAGUCCACCAAGGGGUUACCCAAGUGGUUGAUUUGUAGGUGAGGGUGAUUGCGAAACCAAGAACUCGAAGGUGAUCGCGAGAACACAAAGGACAUGGCGGAUUUUAGACAGGUUCGGGCCUCCAGAGAGUAAUACCAUACGUCCUAUAUACUGGAUUGUAGUGCUUUGCGUUGCUGUGUGGAAUAGUUCGGAUACCCUCAGGGGUGCCCUAGGCCGCCUUAUAUAGGUUGAUGACCUAG
Molecule: long non-coding RNA, 241 nt
Filed under: Setaria italica (foxtail millet)
Lineage: Eukaryota; Viridiplantae; Streptophyta; Magnoliopsida; Poales; Poaceae
Description: long non-coding RNA (SITA_LNC000391)
Source: RNAcentral